AGUAGCAGUAGGUGCUCCAAUCUUCCAACGCAUAACCAGCUUAUGUCUAUGUAUCACCAGUUAAAGAAAUUUGCAGAAAAGAAUAAUUUCGUUUCCUAAAUGCAGAAAAAUGAGCAUCUUCUUUCUUUUCGUUUUGGUUUUGUUAGGUGGAAAUCGGAAACAAAAACCAAAUUAGCCAGGGACAACACAGCAGCAAAAUAAAAUUUGAUGGUGCAAGGAACAUGCAAUUGCAAUGACCUCUCUGGUGAUGCUCUGUAAUGAGAUGCCUACAUGGGUGAUUUCAGACAGCAGUUACGAGAACAUCUAGAUGGUCAUUGGUCAAAACUGCAAUCAAAAGGAUACACCCAUAUUGGUGUCUUCAAAAAGUGGAAUUCUCUACUCCAGAUAUAUAAAAGCAUGAAAACGAUUGAUAUGCCCAAGAAUGGGGAGCGGAAGAGGGGAGUUAGCGAUAAAGCCUAGGCAUAGCAGGAGACAAUAUGUUAAACAAAUGAAAAAUUGGUUUGGUGCGUAUCAGAGGAAUGAAACAUCAUCUGCAUUGUAAAACAAACAGUAGAGUAAUAAAGAUGAUAGCAAGGGAAGGGUAUGAGGUCACAGCUAAGAAAGACACAAUAGGAGCUCAUGUCUUGGGUAAUUCACUCCCAAAAUGUUCAGCAGUUGACAUACCAACAAUGUCAAAGCUCCAAAUAUCAUCAUCCACAGAAAAUCUGCUGUUCGUCUUUGAAAAGGUCCACUCUCCAGUUGCACUCCAUAUCUUGCUCUAUAACAUCAAGAAGCUAUAAUCAUAAUUAAUACUUGAAAAAGUAAAACAAAAAUCUUUUGCAUUUCCUAACUAAUUGCAAGCUUUAAUAGUGCCGUAGAAAAUGAUUCAUAUUAGAGAAAUAAGACUUUUAAAAGAAAAAAUACUGGUCAGAGGGUGUGGGCUAUGUGCCGCGGACUCUCCAAAAUGUUGCCGCAUCCGUGUCGGAUCCUCCAAAAAUGAUCUGACACGCACCCAACCACAUUUCGGUGAGUCCGGGCAACAUAGGUUGUGGGCACUUACAUCAUCAAGAGGCGAAUCCCAAAAUUAAUUGAGAACUUCCCAAGAAAGAAGAAAUUUGUUAUCAAUCUCCAUACCUGAAACAAAUGUAGCAUCCGGUAUCCUCAUUAAUAUUGAAAAUUAAACCCAAAAAGAUAAAUUACACGUAUCUUGGUACUUACAAAACACUUUUCAGAUACGUGCACUAGAUAUCACUUAUAACAAGUGAUGCAAAUUUCUCAUUUACAGGCUCAACAUAAUUUAAUAUGAUGUAAUUUAACAAAAAACAUGAAUCACUAUUAUCUUUUGUUAAGGUACAUGCAUGUAGCACCAGUGGGGACCAAGGAUUUUUAUGCGGGUUCAAAAUGCGAAGAAGCAAAUAUACAAAGACGUCAACAAAAUAAAUAUUUAUUAAUAAUAAAAAUUAAAAUACAUGAUUAAAAUUGCCCUCUACGAGUUUUCAUUUCCUGAAACGUAUAAAUAAUAUUCUCAUCAGAAAGAGUGUUAAAUAUUCUUUUCUAAAUAAGGCACCAAACAACCGUUCAUGAACUCGUCAUCCGUUCGAUUUCGUAAUUCAGUCCGGAUCAACUUCAUCGCCGAAAAAAUUCUCUCAACUAUAGUAGUGGCAAGUGGUAAAAGCAAAGCAAAUUUCACAAGGCGAAACACAAAUGGAUAAUUCAAAUACUUCUUUGACUUAACUAGUGUUUCAGAAAGAUCAACAAGUUCUUGUAAAUUUGAGAACCUUUCAUCAACAUCACAAAUAUCAACAAUAUAAGUUUCAAACUAAUUCCUGAGAGUAACCAUUAUAUUUUCAUCGAAAACGUCAAGAUACUAUUCAACCAUUCUCAAUAUCUUUUUUAUGUCAAAACUGAAAAAUAAGUCAACUGGAUUUAAGAAAGGUAUUUCAAUGAGCAAGUUCGUUGUCACCUCAUUAAAACGAACAUUGAGUUCUUGAACUUGCCAAUCAAUAAUCUUAAAAAAUACAUCAUGUGAUAGUGAUGUAAAAUAAUAUAAUCAGCAACUUUACGUCGAGAUCUUCCGGAGUUAAUAUAGAGCUCGUCAAAGUUUAAUAUCAAAAUGUCAUAUUGACACAAAACGCAGACACCUUAUCAAUCAGUGAAUCCCAUUCUUCAUCUCUUGGCUUCUGCAACUGUCUCUUUGCCGCUUCAACAAGUAGAACAACAUUUGCAAUAUCAUGUUCCUUUUUCUAUAAGGAUGUAUUAAGCUCAUUUGUGAUCCCAAAGCAUAUCUCAUUAGGUGUAACAUGAAAGCAACCUCAAAUUUUUGACAAGUUCUAAAAUAUCCCUUUGCCUUAGCUCUUUCUUCUAAAGACCGGGCAUCAACAACUAUAGUGCCAAGAACAUCAACAAUAGAGCCAAACAUAGAAAUAAAGUUCUUAAAAGAUUUGUAGUGCAACCCCCAACGAGUAUCGGCAGCUAUAGCAAGACCAAGUUCUUGAUUCAAGCCCCCUACUAAUUUCAAGCUCACCUAUAUCUAAUGCCUCUUGAACUUUUUCUGCUUCUGCUUGAGAUUCUCGAAGAUAAUCCAUACAUUAGGAAGAACCUCCCAUUAUAUUCAAGACAUUAAAAACCAACAUUAUAAGUUCUCUCACUUCAAGAUACCUUUUAGACACCGCAACAAGAGUCAAUUGAAGUUGAUUAGCAAAACAAUGAAUGGAAUGAGUUGAUUUACUUUCUUGUUGAAUCAAAGUUUUAAGGCCACUUAGAUACCCUUGCAAAUUGCUUGCUCUGUCAUAGCACUGGCCACGUACAUAAGAUAAACUCAAAGAAUAUUGAGCAAGGUAAUCAAUAAUUGCUUCCUUUAAACAUAAAGUACUAGUAUAACGAACAUGAACGAUCCCAAUUAAAUGCUCCACGACAGAUCCCCAUCUAUCAACAUAUCGCAAGAUAAUAACCAAUUGUUCUUUGCGUGAUACAUCACAAGAUUUAUUAACUACCAAUGAAAAAAGUCACUAUUUAGAUCGCCCAUAAUUGCUUUAACUGUUUUAAUCUUACAUGCAAUGAUAAUAUCUUUUUAAAUUUUAUGAUUAGUCAACUAAUCAUUAUUUGGAGCCUUUUUGAACAAAAGAUCAUGGAUUUUAUCACACCUCAUUGCUUACCAUGAAAGAAUUUAAUGAUGAUUCAUCUUCACGAUAUCCACGAAAUGUCAAUUCUUGAUUCAAAGGAGUCUCACCAACUCAAUUGAAGCCUUCAAGCGAAUUGUGUAUUCGAGCUUGGUUUGACUAGAUUGCCUAUCAGAUGCAAUUUGAAUUGACUGUUUUUGUUGUAAUUGAUCUUAACAUUUCUUUUUUGCCUGGUUAUGAAUACUGCUCAACCCACCAACAUGCAUACCUAAUCUAUUUUUUUGUGCACUCUUAAACCAUAUACUUAAAAAUACAUCGCCUGCCUCCACCUUAACGAAUGCCUUCAUCUUGAAAUAAGUAACAACACAAACAAUAAGCUGCAUCUUCUAUUACACUAUGUUCUAACCAAUUAUGAUACUGGUCAAACUAUUUAGGAUUGAAAUGACACUUUAAAGACCGAAAAACCUCUUUGAGGAAACUUAUGAUAUCACGGUUAGUAAGGACCUCUUUGGAGGUAUGCUCUUCUAAUCUUAUCACGCUUAUUUGGAUGAUAGUCCCUAAUGGGUAGUCUUUCCUUUGGAUCGAGCUUUAAAGAAUCGAGAUAAAAAAAAAAAAGCAUCAAAUUCCUUUACUUGAAGCCACGUAAUUUUCAAGAAGACAAUUCUCUAAGUUAGUAAUAAAUUUUAAUCACAUACUAAUGAUGGCCCCAAUUCCCAAACUUGAAACAAAAUACGCUGUAAAAUACCCAAAAUAAAUUACCAUCAAAUUAAGUACUGAAAUUCUUUUUAAUUGAUGAAAUUGUACAUGGCCAAACUAAUUUUAAAAGUACAAUACAAUGAUUAAAAUCAAAGUGAAACAUGACGAUGUGGUUGCCGGCGAGAGAGGCGACAACCAACGAAAAGCGGCAGUGGCCAGCGGCUAAUGGCAGCGGAGACGGCUCCGGAUGCAAUGUAACUUUGAAAUUGAACCGAAGGAUUCAGCCAAGAGAGAGAGACAGUGAAGGGUUGGUAAUUGGAGGGUAUUUGUUUGGGAAUUGGGGGCUAUAUAUAAUUUUUAGAUUUUAGAUUCUAUUAAGAAAAAAAAAGUAAAACGGUAUCAUAUAUGUAACGACCCGGCCAGUCAUUUUGCUUUCUAAAUCUCUGUUCCCCUAUUUAAGACUUUGUAUGUGCUUUUACUGUUUUAUGACUUGUGGGGAUGGUUGGUUUGGUUUUGGAAAGGUUCGGAUUAAAUUCGGAACAAUUAGUUCCAUAGUAGUGGCCUAAGGUGGUCAAGUUUGACUUGGGUCAACACUGAGUAAACGACCUCGAAAUCGGGAUUUGAAAGUUCCAAUAGGUUUGUAUGAUGAUUUUGAACUUGGGCGUAUGUUCGGAUCGAAUUUUGGGUGGACCGGGAGUGUUUCGGUGCUUAUUAUUGAAAGUUGACGUCUUGAAGGUUUUAGAGUUUCUAAGUUUGAUUUGAAGUAGACUUUGGUGUUAUCGAUGUCCGUUUGGGGUUCUGAGCCUUGGAAUAGGUUCGUGUUGUGAUUUGUGACUUGUGCGUAAAAUUUGCGUCAUUCCAAGUUAUCUAAGUAUGAUUCGUCGCGUUCUGGAAGAAGUUUGAAGUUCCAAAGUUGAUUAAUUUGAUGUUGAGGUGCGAUUCUUGGUUUCGAUGUUAUUUUACGUGUUCCGAGACUUCGAGUAGGUCCGUAGUAUAUUUAUGGACUUGUUGGUACAUUUGGACGAGGUCCAGGGUGAAUUUCGGACCACCCACAAAAAAGUUGAAGUUGGCUGAUAUUGCUGGUUUGCUGGUGUGCUUCGCGCGAUCGGGUAAUCCCGCGAUCGCGAAGGGGGCUGGGGAGGGGUCUGAGAUUUUGCUCUUCACAAACGCGAGUAGGGCCCCGCGAACGCGAUGGAGGAUCUGAUUCCUCUUCGCGAACGCGGAGCCAUCUUCGCGAACGUGAAGAAGGCUGAGGCUGAGUUGGGCUAGAAGGUUGUUGGCCUUCGCGAACGCGGCUGGGGGACCGCGAACGCGGAAGGGUGGGUGGUUGUUCAACGCGAACGCAAAGAGGAUUUUGGUCAGCUGGAAUAGUUUGGUCUUCGCAAUCGCGAGGGACUUACCGUGAUCGCGAAGAAAGAAUCACCGGGCAGAUCACAUUUUUAUUUCGGGACUUAGGUCAUUUCUCUCACUUUUCACUUUGGUUUGGACAAAUUUGAGAGCUCUUUUGAGGGGGAUUUUCAUCAAAAAUCACAAGGUAAGUGAUUUCUACCAAUUUAGAGUUAAAUACAUGGAUUAUGGGUAGAUUAUAACAUAGAAAUUGUGGAAUUUUGGCAUUUUUGUUGAAAAACCUAGGGUUUGGUAAAAAUGGGCUUUGACCACGAAAUUGAUUAUGGAAUUGGGAAUAAAUUAUAUAUUUGAGUUUGUAAUGUCAUGGGUAAUGUUUAUCUUCAAAAAAAUUCCGAAAUCCGGACACCUAGGCCCGGGGUUCACUUUUGUUGACUUUCCAAACGAGGUUGGGAAAUUACUCUAAUAGAUAAACUAUGAACUUUUUAGCAUAUAUUGAUUGGUUUAUACGACCUUUGGCUAGUUUCGUAUUGCUCGGCAUCGAUUUGAGGCAAGUAGUGAGGUUAGAGAGACAAGUAGUGAGCUUUGGAUCGAGGUAAGUCUCUUGCCUAAUCUUGUAAGAGAUUAUCCUCGCAGGUAUGCUAAUUGUUAUGUGCUACUUGUUUUGGGCGCUACGUACGCACGAGGUGACGAGAGUGUGUACGUAGCUAGAUUCAUGUUUAUGUCCGGGUAGACUUAGAAACACAUCAUGCUUUAAAUGUGCUAUGUGAAUUUAUCGUGUUUGUUUGAUUCCUUAAAUUUAUGACUGAGAUUGAGACUAGAAUAAAAAAAUUGACCGAGUCUCUUACGUUGAAAAUCGUGAAAUAUUUGAUGAAUGGUAGUUUCGUGUCUUAUCAACUCGCAAAUAUUUUCGCGAGUGAGAGAGUUUCUCUAUUGUUAUGGGAUCGGGUCGUUCGCCUUGAUAGUGUUGUAAAUUAUUCUUAUGGGAUCGGGUUGUUCCCCUCGGCAAUGUUGUAAAUUACUCUUAUGGGAUCGGAUCGUUCGCCUCGACGGUGUUGUAAAUUACUCUUAUGGGAUUGGGUUGUUCGCCUCGUCAGUAUUGUGAAUUACUCUUAUGGGAUCGGGCCGUUCGCCUCGACAAUAUUGUGUAACACUACUCCAGUGUUGUAAAUAGCGAGCGCUACGUCGCUGCGAUGCGAGACUGUGUCGCUUCUUUCAUCUGUUGUGUUGCGAUUUACAUAAAGCGAUCGCCUCUGCUUGUGUAGCGAGAGGCGACAGUGUGGCGAGAGGCGACUAAAGCGUCGCUUUUUUAAAAAGAAAAAAGAAAAAGGGCAAAGACUUAAGAAAAUAGGUCGCGAUUAGGGCUUGACUCUCAGAAGUUUCUUUCUUCUUCAACUUCGAACAACAGAGCAGCCAAGUUUCUGAAAAAAGGUCGCGAUUAGGGCUCGCGAUUACUGUGCCAUACUUGAGAUUUGAUGUGGUAUUGGUAUCGGUUGACCUUGUGCCUUCAAGGCAAGUUGUGGUAUUGGUGAUUUCAUAAUAAUUCUUGUCUGGAAGUUUUAUUAUGCUGUUUACCUGCAUCGUUGCUACUUGUUGAGUUUCAUACCUGUCUACUUUAUGUACUUAAUUAUUUUGACCACUAGUAAGUGUCAAGUAGACCCUCCGUCACUACUUCUUCGAGGUUAGACUAGAUACUUACUGGGUACGUGUUGAUUUACGUACUCAUACUACACUCUUGCACUGAUUAUGCAGGUACUGAGACAGGUACUUCCGGUGGUCAUACGGGCGCAUAGACGUAUUACACGGAGACUUAGUGGUGAGCUGUUUUCCAUGCUUCGAUCUAAAUACGUCAUUGAAAGUCCAAAUACGUCAUUGAAAGUCCAAAUACCCCCCAAGUAGACCCCUCGUUACUACUUCUUCGAGGUUAGACUAGAUACUUACUGGGUACGCGUUGAUUUACGUACUCAUACUUCACUCCUGCACUGAUUGUGCAGGUACUGAGACAGGUACUUCCGGUGGUCAUACAGGAGCAUAGACGUAUUACACGGAGACUUAGUGGUGAGCUGUUUUCCAUGCUUCGAUCUAAAUACGUCAUUGAAAGUCCAAAUACCCCCUAAGUAGACCUCUCGUCACUACUUAUUCGAGGUUAGACUAGAUACUUACUGGGUACGCGUUGAUUUACGUACUCAUACUACACUCCUACACUGAUUGUGCAGGUACUGAGACGGAUACUUCCGGUGGUCAUACAGGCGCAUAGACGUAUUACACGGAGACUUAGUGGUGAGUUGUUUUCCAUGCUUCGAUCUAAAUACGUCAUUGAAAGUCCAAAUACCCCCCCCCCCCUCCCCCCAAAAUCCCCAAAUGAAUUGGUUGGUUCAUACGAGAAACAAUUUGCGAUCCCAUAUAUUCAAAAAUUUGAGAACUUUUGACCUAUUAGUUUAAAUCUCCAAUUCACCUUUGGUCACACGACUCACACCAGGCACGAUACAUUUUAUAGCAUUCAGAAUUUCUUUAUAAAAUUUAAAUUGCAGUUCCAAAUAAGAAAUAAUCAUAUCUCAAGCUUAUCUGAUAUGUCAUUGAAAGUCAAAAUAGUCCCCCCCCCCCCAACCCCUCAAUGAAUUGGUUGGUUCAUACGGGAAACAAUUUGUUCUUCGACUAGGAGAACAGCUGAGAGGAGGUAGUUAACAUCCAUUUUGUUUGCUAAUAGGAUAAGUUGCACAAACAUAAAGUCACCACGUUAUGGCAAGAGCAAAAGCAAAAAAUUUAUUUUUCACCAAAAAAUAAAUGACCCAUUAAAUAUUUAGCCACUAGGCAGCCUGCCUAGUGCUAAAUUGCUCGGACACGGGUGCGGGUGUCCGACACGGGUGCGGAUCUAGAGGUCGGAUCCUUCAAGAUGUUAAUUCUAAGAUUCGAGGAUACGGAUCCUAGUACGGAUAUGGGUGCGGGGAUCCGGCUAAAAAUAAUUCAAGAAAAUAAAAAUAUAAAAAUAUCUCUAAAUUAUGAGAAAUUUUAUGGAAUACUUACGUAUAACUGGUAAAGUAUGGAUUUGUUUUUACUCUCAAGUUGUAGAUAAGUAAAGGAUUGAUUUUUUGGAUAAGGUAUGUUGUUUUCUUCAAAUUUACUCCAGUUUUGGUUAUGAUUUCGGGAAUCAAAUUGUAUCUCGUCUUCAAUUUCUCCGUCUGUCGUGGUCUAAGUACCCAAAAUUAUUUGAUCAAAAUCGGUACGGAUCCCAUACCCACACCCAUACUAGUGUCGUGUCGACACGGGUGCGGCACCUAAACUACCGUGUCGGAGCAACUUAGGCCUAGUGGUAUAUUUGCUAAAAAAAAAAACAUUUAAGAUUGACAUGAACUAAUAUCAUUGAGAGGAAGCCAGAGGAGUUGUAUUUAAGGUGCUUCCCAGUCCCAACUUCAGCGAAAGCCAUGUGUGAGUGAUAAAAAAGCAAGCUAGCUCCCAAGUAUAAGAACACCAGAGAUGCUUGUAUAUCUACAUCUAUUGCAAGAUCCAUUGCGCAAUUAUCCUAUGUUAAAAACUAUAACCAUCAAAUGAUUACUGAAAAGAACAAUAACAGGAACUAACAUAACAAUUUAGAUAUCUCAAAGUCAUACACUAAGCAUGAGAAUAUAAGAAUUCAGCCAUUGGAACUAGAGAAUGUUUCAAACUAAAUAAGCUUGUCACAGGCCUCGUAGGUAUGAUACAUUAUGGUGUCUGGUUAGCAUCGUAAAGAUGCUGAUAUCCGAAGUAUAAUUAAAUAAAAGGAUAUUUACCUGAAAAUGGGAGAAUACUAGCUCAUACAAUAAUGCAAUAUCAACAAGAUCAAACAGUCCCAAUUGACAUGCAGUUGUCAAAACUAGACAAGCAGUCCCGUAAGCCUUGCUUACAGGUGGAAGUGAUUUAUAGAACCUGUGAUGAGAAAACAAUUAGGUCAUUCAGUGAAUACUUGAUAGAGAAAACAUAAAGUAUAAAGCAGAUAGCAUUCAUACCAAUGACCAGAAUAUGAGAUUAAAAAUGACCUAAUGGCAUAAAAUAAGGAAAGCAAAAGAUAGCAAAUCUUAAGACCAGAGAUUAUAGGAAGGAGGGACAGCAAUCCACAGUUCUCACAUAUAGUCUGACCUGUCAAAUCAGUAGACACAUACAUUCAAACUUUUCCUUUUCUUUGGAAAUGAUAGAAGGAUUAGAUUCUAAAGGAUGACUCGCUUGGGACACAUGCCGCAGAAAAAAUCUCAGAUUAGCAACUUCACAGCACAACGUGAAGUCUCCAAAUGCUUAACAAGAAGCAGCAACAGAACCAGUUGGGAGUUGAGAGCUCAGAUUUAGGAGGGGAAUAAUAACCCCAUUACCAAUAAAACUUAACUGACAGCGAAGACAAUUACAAGAGGUAUACUCUAUCAGGUACAAUAACUGGAAGGUCAUGGUGAAGUCAUGUUACAAUCACCUCUCUAGUAGUAUAGAAAUGGUCAACAGAUUGCCCGUAACAUGGAGAACGAAAUACCAAUAAAAGUGGCCUGUUUUUCACGACAGAAGAGCAAGAGGUUUGCCUCAUGCAACUUUUCCUUUUUAAUAAGUCAGGCAAGAUAAUUUACAAAACGGGCAGAAUAGGACAAUAGAUGGUACAUGCGCAAAAAGGCGCUGUCAUCUUCACAUUCAUUAUUCAGAGGUGACUGGAAAUCUAGGAACUAUAUCUUAAACUGUUUGGCUUAAGCAGUGAGAUGCUCUACACUGUCAAAGAUGCCUUAGCAAGAUGGAUCAGAUGGAAGAGAAAGGAACUAACUAAAAACAUGUGGAUCUCAAUCCUAACAUGCAUUUUGUUGUCAGUCGAAUGCGAGAAGUUUUAAGGAAAAUCAGUUUCACGUCAUAUUCUGAAAUACAGAUAAUCAAGCUCAACUCAUUGAUGAAGAUGGAGAUAAUUAGCCUUCAAUAAAGACGGCACAGCACGUGGUUAUGAAACACUUUUUUUUUAUAAAGUAUCAAAUACUUAAAUUUUAUGAGAUACUAGUUAUCCAAGUCAUGCUCUGCCCCAAAAGAAAGCAGCAGUAGUCAUUUCCAAUAAUUUAGUCUUUCAAGAAAUAUUUCAGCUUCGCUAGUUAAAUGUUUUUUGUGUUUGAUUUUCCUCAUUUAAGGGAAUAAAGAAAUUGCUAAAGUUUCAAUCAAAAUUGAGUCACCAAGUCAAAAAAAAAAAAGAAGAUUGGGCAAAAAUCUUUUGUUUUAAAAAAUAAAAUAGGCAACAAAAGUUAACAAAAAGUGCUAAGUGUAAGGGGUAAGGCUGGGGAGAUUAGAUUCUUAAAGAUACAGACACAAGAGACAGGAGUCGCUGGUUGGUGAAGGGGGAGUGAGGAGGAGGAAAAAUCUAAGUGUGUGGGACUAAGUUGCUCGGACUCGGGCGUGGGUAUCCGAUACGGGCACGGAUCCGAGUGUCGGAUUCGGCAAAAUCUAAAUUUAAGAUUCGGAGGUGCGGAUCCAGGUAUGGAUACGGGUGCAGUGAUUCGGCUAAGAAAAUUCAAAAUUAUUAAAAUAAAUAAAUAAAUAAAUAUAAAGCGAAAAAGAAAGCCAUUCAAGGCCUUCCACCAAUUCUCCAUCUAUAUCGCAGCUAUUGUCUGCCAGAAGUCCGAACUCAAAACACGACCCCUUGAAUUCUUGAUUUUUCUGAAACACAAAGCAACAAAUAUGAGACAGAAGUACUACAAUAUUGAAGGCUUGCCAUUUC
RNAcentral lists this long non-coding RNA (10842 nucleotides) under Nicotiana tabacum (common tobacco). Its description in RNAcentral is "long non-coding RNA (NTAB_LNC005365)". The record is from RNAcentral. Lineage: Eukaryota; Viridiplantae; Streptophyta; Magnoliopsida; Solanales; Solanaceae.